GCUUCUAUGGCGCAAUGGUAACGCGCGUCACUAGUAAUGACGAGAUUCUCGGUUCGAUUCCGAGUGGAAGCA
Molecule: transfer RNA, 72 nt
Filed under: Opeltia flavorubescens
Lineage: Eukaryota; Fungi; Ascomycota; Lecanoromycetes; Teloschistales; Teloschistaceae
Also listed under: 1 other name
Description: tRNA-Thr (AGT) (tRNA-Thr-AGT-1-1)
Rfam family: tRNA
About the family: Transfer RNA (tRNA) molecules are approximately 80 nucleotides in length.
Source: RNAcentral